This 253-nucleotide ribosomal RNA is filed under the name uncultured bacterium. RNAcentral describes it as "partial 16S ribosomal RNA". It matches the Rfam family "Bacterial small subunit ribosomal RNA", at positions 524 to 776 of the family's 1533-position model. The record is from RNAcentral.
UACGUAGGGGGCGAGCGUUGUCCGAAGUUACUGGGCGUAAAGCGUACGUAGGCGGUUCGUUAAGUCGGAUGUGAAAGCCCUCGGCUCAACUGAGGAAGUGCACCCGAAACUGGCGAGCUUGAGUACGAAAGAGGAUCGCGGAAUUCCCGGUGUAGAGGUGAAAUUCGUAGAUAUCGGGAGGAACACCGGCGGCGAAGGCGGCGAUCUGGGUCGAUACUGACGCUGAGGUGCGAAAGCGUGGGGAGCAAACAGG